RNAcentral lists this ribosomal RNA (429 nucleotides) under Triticum aestivum (bread wheat). Its description in RNAcentral is "partial small subunit ribosomal RNA". Lineage: Eukaryota; Viridiplantae; Streptophyta; Magnoliopsida; Poales; Poaceae. The record is from RNAcentral.
CUUCAACCUUUAUUGGACAGAGUAUGCAAUCGACUACUGCCAUGGAUUGCUCGUUGGAUCACCGCGGUUGGUCGCCUCGUGCUAGUCAAGUCGGUCCUCACAUCCAUCCCCGUGUAUCACUCUAUCACGAUGCAGCUGCCCGUAUGGCUGAUCGAUGGGUUUGAGAAGAGGAUUCGUGCCUUCUUUUGAAAGGGGACCCACGUCGUCAGCGGUGGCCAUUGUCUGGUGGCUUGGGAGCAAGUGUGCAAGCCGUUCGAGUAUGGUGUUUUGGGCGCCCUGAACCUCAAGCUAUUAGGCUAUGCGUUUCGGGCAUGUUGGCUAUGGAUGCAACGCACAUCUGAUUGUUGUUGGUCGGGCCUGCAGCCGGCCGUGGAGCCUGAGGUGCACGCUAUUUUUGACUCGUCCAUCAAGGUGAUGUUGGGAUGGUAG